This 303-nucleotide ribosomal RNA is filed under the name uncultured bacterium. Its description in RNAcentral is "partial 16S ribosomal RNA". It matches the Rfam family "Bacterial small subunit ribosomal RNA", at positions 507 to 807 of the family's 1533-position model. The record is from RNAcentral.
AGCAGCAGCCGCGGUAAGACGGAGGGUGCUAGCGUUGUUCGGAAUCACUGGGCGUAAAGGGCUCGCAGGCGGUUUCUUAAGUCUGAUGUGAAAGCCCCCGGCUCAACCGGGGAGGGUCAUUGGAAACUGGGAAACUUGAGUGCAGAAGAGGAGAGUGGAAUUCCACGUGUAGCGGUGAAAUGCGUAGAGAUGUGGAGGAACACCAGUGGCGAAGGCGACUCUCUGGUCUGUAACUGACGCUGAGGAGCGAAAGCGUGGGGAGCGAACAGGAUUAGAUACCCCGGUAGUCCCUGUCUCUUAUAC